This 68-nucleotide transfer RNA is filed under the name Lens contradens. Its description in RNAcentral is "tRNA-Asn". Lineage: Eukaryota; Metazoa; Mollusca; Bivalvia; Unionida; Unionidae. The record is from RNAcentral.
UGAGUAAAAGCUUAUAUGCAACUGGCUGUUAACCAGUAGACAACGAGACUGAGUUCUCGUUUACCCAA